This 296-nucleotide unclassified non-coding RNA is filed under the name fungal sp. RNAcentral describes it as "partial internal transcribed spacer region". The stretch from base 1 to 46 matches the Rfam family "Eukaryotic small subunit ribosomal RNA", at positions 1786 to 1831 of the family's 1831-position model. The record is from RNAcentral. Lineage: Eukaryota; Fungi.
AAGUCGUAACAAGGUUUCCGUAGGUGAACCUGCGGAAGGAUCAUUAAAAAAUCGAUAAUAGAGACCGCAAGGUUUCUAAUGAGCCGCAAGGCUCUAAUAUUUUGUGAACUGUGUUGUAUGUUUGUGUUGCUGUAUGUGCGAUAGAUGGAGAUGUUGGGUCACGAUACGCGAUAUCAUCGUCGAUGUGCAUAUGGCAACGCACACUACAAACUUGAUAAAUACAUAUGAUUUUGAUGUUGAGGAAAAGUAUUAUAUUAAUAUAUAUACAACUUUCAACAGUGGAUCUCUCGGCUCUU